GGAGCAGUACUCAAGCUGGUUAAGAGGCCUCACUGCUAACGAGGUAGUUGCUAACGCAUUCGCAGGUUCGAAUCCUGUCUGCUCCGCCA
RNAcentral lists this transfer RNA (89 nucleotides) under Mycoplasmatota bacterium. RNAcentral describes it as "Tenericutes bacterium tRNA-Ser". It matches the Rfam family "tRNA". From Rfam's summary of the family: Transfer RNA (tRNA) molecules are approximately 80 nucleotides in length. Their secondary structure includes four short double-helical elements and three loops (D, anti-codon, and T loops). Lineage: Bacteria; Bacillati; Mycoplasmatota. The record is from RNAcentral. RNAcentral also lists the same sequence under 1 other name.